UUCAUAUUAUAAGUAUGCCUCAUGCAAUAUUUAGGACAUACUUAUAAUAAAA
MicroRNA precursor from Chlorocebus sabaeus (green monkey), 52 nucleotides. It matches the Rfam family "mir-1302 microRNA precursor family". The record is from Rfam. Lineage: Eukaryota; Metazoa; Chordata; Mammalia; Primates; Cercopithecidae.